GUUCCUGGCUCAGGAUGAACGCUAGCUACAGGCUUAACACAUGCAAGUCGAGGGGAAACGACAUCGAAAGCUUGCUUUUGAUGGGCGUCGACCGGCGCACGGGUGAGUAACGCGUAUCCAACCUGCCCAUCACUUGGGAAUAACCUUGCGAAAGUAAGACUAAUACCCAAUGAUAUCCCGCGAAGGCAUCCGAAUGGGAUUAAAGAUUUAUCGGUGAUGGAUGGGGAUGCGUCUGAUUAG
RNAcentral lists this ribosomal RNA (240 nucleotides) under uncultured bacterium. RNAcentral's name for it is "partial 16S ribosomal RNA". It matches the Rfam family "Bacterial small subunit ribosomal RNA", at positions 15 to 244 of the family's 1533-position model. The record is from RNAcentral.